Long non-coding RNA from Drosophila serrata, 906 nucleotides. The record is from RefSeq and is a predicted model, not a curated record. NCBI's taxonomy places the organism in Eukaryota, Metazoa, Arthropoda, Insecta, Diptera, Drosophilidae.
GAGCUAACAAGGACAUAGCUUUAGCUCUUGCUUCAUCUAGAAUCGCUGCGAUAUUGUUACCUGGUGGGAGGACUGCUCAUUCAGCGCUGAAGUUGCCGUUGAACAUGCAAAUCAUCGAGACUCCUACGUGCAACAUUUCCAGAGCAUCUGGCAAGGGAAAGUAUUGCGAAGAUGUAAAUUCAAACUCGAUAUCCGAAUAAAUUAUAGGAAUCACGAUGGGCUUAGUGGACGAGCGACUCUCGCUGCCAAGAACAAAGAUGUCUACCAGCUCAAUCAUGUAAUCCAGUCCAAGCAAUUCAUUGGCCAGCCAACAUCGAUUUUUUCCAUCUCUACGUCCGCAUCGAAGAAGAAAACGCGUAAUUUGUUCUGUUGGUGGUGUUGGCUGAAGUAGUGGAGUGGACGGUCAUGGACAGAUACCUGAAACGAACAUCAAAUUCAGAGGAAAAUGUGGAGGAGCCAGCUCAAAAAAGAAACGAGAAGCUUCCAUCGCUUGGAAUCAUUUCAAGAAAACGGUUGAAAAAAACACAUGCCGUUUGUAAUUACUGUGGAAAGGCCAUAAAAACGAUGGGAAACACCACAAACCUUCUUAACCAUCUGAGCAACGUACAUCCAGAACGGCUUAAAGACAGCAAAGGCAAAAAUCAUACAACCGCUUUAGAUGUGUUUAUGGGAAAGUCCACUGUGCAUUAUAUCAAUGAUUCGGCGAGGAAAAGAAAGAUUGAUGAAAUGGUGCUAAACAUGAUUGCUGUGGAUGUUCAGCCUUUUAGUUGUGUCGAGGAUGAGGGUUUCAUUGCCCUCCUGAAAGAAAUGGACCCUCGAUACAAAUUGCCAAGUAGGACAUACUUGCGGGAUGUUUCUUUGCCAAUACAAUAUGAACAAGAAAGGAGCUAACUUCGGCACGCCGAA